Molecule: ribosomal RNA, 404 nt
Filed under: uncultured bacterium
Lineage: Bacteria
Description: bacterial SSU rRNA
Rfam family: Bacterial small subunit ribosomal RNA
Source: RNAcentral
UGGGGAAUCUUGGACAAUGGGCGCAAGCCUGAUCCAGCCAUGCCGCGUGGAUGAUGAAGGCCUUAGGGUUGUAAAAUCCUUUCAGCGGGGACGAUAAUGACGGUACCCGCAGAAGAAGCCCCGGCUAACUUCGUGCCAGCAGCCGCGGUAAUACGAAGGGGGCUAGCGUUGUUCGGAUUUACUGGGCGUAAAGCGCGUGUAGGCGGGCUGGAAAGUUGGGGGUGAAAUCCCGAGGCUCAACCUCGGAACUGCCUCCAAAACUUCCAGCCUGGAGCAAGAUAGAGGCAAGUGGAAUUGCGAGUGUAGAGGUGAAAUUCGUAGAUAUUCGCAGGAACACCAGUGGCGAAGGCGACUUGCUGGAUCUUUGCUGACGCUGAGACGCGAAAGCGUGGGGAGCAAACAGG